GGUGAUUUGAAGACUCCAGAAAUCUGAUGAAUAUCAGUUAGGUGGCUGCUGACUGAUGCAGUAGUGAUGUCUCCUGUCCAUAGCUGUCAACAUUUGGAUGUUGGGCCAGACCAGCCGAUUUGAAGACAAAAGAACAAGAUACAGAAUCCACAGGUGUCCUGAUGUUCCUAUCCUAACUGGGAGAUGAUGGGUGACUUCUGUACAAACCAGACCAGUUGACUUGAAGAUAUGGUGAAGAGAAGAGUU
Molecule: long non-coding RNA, 246 nt
Organism: Branchiostoma belcheri (Belcher's lancelet)
Lineage: Eukaryota; Metazoa; Chordata; Leptocardii; Amphioxiformes; Branchiostomatidae
Exons: 3
Source: RefSeq, a predicted model, not a curated record